UGGGGAAUCUUGCACAAUGGGGGAAACCCUGAUGCAGCGACGCCGCGUGAGCGAUGAAACCCUUCGGGGUGUAAAGCUCUUUCGGCAGGGACGAUGAUGACGGUACCUGCAGAAGCAGCUGCGGCUAACUACGUGCCAGCAGCCGCGGUAAUACGUAGGCAGCGAGCGUUGUUCGGAGUUACUGGGCGUAAAGGGUGUGUAGGCGGUCCUCUAAGUUUGGUGUGAAAUCUCUCGGCUCAACCGGGAGGGUGCGCCGAAAACUGGGGGACUCGAGUGCGGGAUGGGAGAGUAGAAUUCCUGGUGUAGCGGUGAAAUGCGUAGAUAUCAGGAGGAAUACCGGUGGUGUAGACGGCUCUCUGGACCGCCACUGACGCUGAGACACGAAAGCGUGGGUAGCAAAC
RNAcentral lists this ribosomal RNA (401 nucleotides) under uncultured bacterium. RNAcentral's name for it is "bacterial SSU rRNA". It matches the Rfam family "Bacterial small subunit ribosomal RNA", at positions 355 to 773 of the family's 1533-position model. The record is from RNAcentral.